GACGUAGGAUGCAAGCGUUACUCGGAAUUACUGGGCGUAAAGCGUCUGUAGGCGUUCCGCGAAGUCUGGUGUGAAAGUGCGAAGCUCAACUUCGUGUCUGCAUUGGAAACUGGCGGAAUCGAGACAUUCAGAGGUACCUGGAAUGCUGUGUGUAGGGGUAAAAUCCGUAGAUACACAGUAGAACGCUCAUAGCGAAGGCAGGGUACUGGGGAUGUUCUGACGCUGAGAGACGAAAGCGUGGGGAGCAAACCGG
RNAcentral lists this ribosomal RNA (253 nucleotides) under uncultured bacterium. RNAcentral's name for it is "partial 16S ribosomal RNA". It matches the Rfam family "Bacterial small subunit ribosomal RNA", at positions 524 to 776 of the family's 1533-position model. The record is from RNAcentral.